This 500-nucleotide ribosomal RNA is filed under the name uncultured bacterium. RNAcentral's name for it is "partial 16S ribosomal RNA". It matches the Rfam family "Bacterial small subunit ribosomal RNA", at positions 30 to 523 of the family's 1533-position model. The record is from RNAcentral.
AUUGGACGCUGGCGGCAUGCCUUACACAUGCAAGUCGAACGGCAGCACGGGAGCAAUCCUGGUGGCGAGUGGCGAACGGGUGAGUAAAGUAUCGGAACGUGCCCAGUCGUGGGGGAUAACGUAGCGAAAGUUACGCUAAUACCGCAUACGAUCUAUGGAUGAAAGCGGGAGAUCGCAAGACCUCGCGCGAUUGGAGCGGCCGAUAUCAGAUUAGGUAGUUGGUGGGGUAAAGGCUCACCAAGCCGACGAUCUGUAGCUGGUCUGAGAGGACGACCAGCCACACUGGGACUGAGACACGGCCCAGACUCCUACGGGAGGCAGCAGUGGGGAAUUUUGGACAAUGGGCGAAAGCCUGAUCCAGCCAUGCCGCGUGCAGGAUGAAGGCCUUCGGGUUGUAAACUGCUUUUGUACGGAACGAAAAGGUUUGGCCUAAUAAGCUGAGCUCAUGACGGUACCGUAAGAAUAAGCACCGGCUAACUACGUGCCAGCCGCCGCGGUAA